CGCGUGUACGGGGAAUGCGUACUUGCGCACCAUGCAGUUAUGUGAUCCUUAUCAUAUGUAUAGUAUAUUGUACAAUAAAUGAUAUGACAUUUAAGUUGUGUUGUUGGAUCUUUUUUAAUCAUAAUUUUCUUCGUUCAUUCCUGCCGACAGUUGGGACAGAGACUGAAAUAUGCUCUGGGUAACACGUACAGCCAGACGCGGCCUAACAGUAAAACAUUUAGAAAUGUGACAAAAGGUCUUCUGUUUGUCCAUUUAUUCCUACAUAGAGUUUUAAUCCCGUUUACAUGAAAAGCUGUACUUAUUGUGUCCUUGACUAUUCCAAAUUUCUUUUUGCAGCAAACUGACAAACCGAAUAAGCCCAGGACACUGGAAAAUACUUGAAAAACAUGGUAAAGUGGAUUUCAGCAUUUUCUGUCGUCACAUUUGUAUUAGAAUUUUAACAAAUGUCUUCGUUAGUACUAUAUUGUAUUUCGCAGGAUGUUCCUCAACAGAUUGGUUCUGUGGACUGUGGUGCGUUCAUGUUGAUUGUUGUCACGUCACGGAUCGGGGAAGCAGGAGCAGGAAGACGGAGAAUCGGGAAACAAAGGAUUUAUUGGGGAAACCAGCUAGGAACACGGAACAAUAGAAGUAGCGACUUAAAUGACAUGAUUGGGGAAACAUAUUUUGAAGCGGAGUUAAAUACAUAGGACUAAUGAAAACAACUGGAAACAGCGAAUGACAUCGGGAUUCCACACGAGGUUAACGAGGGGGCGUGGCACACGGGAGCAGUGGACGAGCGCCCAAGACAACUUGAGUUGGAGGGAUUUGACAAAAACAUCCUUUUAGAAAUGCGUGAGGAAGGUCAAGACUCUGGUCUCCAGCUCACCGCUCUCUGUUACAUUUCCAUGGCCAUUUUGUCCAAUAGUAUUAUUGGAUUUUUCUAUGCUAUAUAUAUUUUUUAUGUUUAGUUAUUCUGUGCUCUAUAAUUAUAAAUAAUAGUUUAUUUUCCUUGUGAUGUGU
Molecule: long non-coding RNA, 999 nt
Organism: Brienomyrus brachyistius
Lineage: Eukaryota; Metazoa; Chordata; Actinopteri; Osteoglossiformes; Mormyridae
Exons: 3
Source: RefSeq, a predicted model, not a curated record